This 75-nucleotide transfer RNA is filed under the name Nitzschia sp. (in: diatoms). RNAcentral describes it as "Nitzschia sp. (in: Bacillariophyta) tRNA-Arg". It matches the Rfam family "tRNA". Rfam says of the family: Transfer RNA (tRNA) molecules are approximately 80 nucleotides in length. The record is from RNAcentral. Lineage: Eukaryota; Bacillariophyta; Bacillariophyceae; Bacillariales; Bacillariaceae.
UAGAUCUAUCGUCUAAUGGAUUAGGACAUAAACCUUCUAAGUUUUUAAUGUAGGUUCGAAUCCUACUAGAUCUAA